AGGCGGCUUAAUAAGUCAGUGGUGAAAGCCCUACGCUUAACGUAGGAACGGCCAUUGAUACUGUUAGGCUUGAAUUAUUAGGAAGUAACUAGAAUAUGUAGUGUAGCGGUGAAAUGCUUAGAGAUUACAUGGAAUACCAAUUGCGAAGGCAGGUUACUACUAAUGGAUUGACGCUGAUGGACGAAAGCGUGGGUAGCGAACAGGAUUAGAUACCCUGGUAGUCCACGCCGUAAACGAUGGAUACUAGCUGUUGGGCGCAAGUUCAGUGGCUAAGCGAAAGUGAUAAGUAUCCCACCUGGGGAGUACGUUCGCAAGAAUGAAACUCAAAGGAAUUGACGGGGGCCCGCACAAGCGGUGGAGCAUGUGGUUUAACUCGAUGAUACGCGAGGAACCUUACCAAGGCUUAAAUGUAGUUUGACCGUUUUGGAAACAGAACUUUCGCAAGACAAAUUACAAGGUGCUGCAUGGUUGUCGUCAGCUCGUGCCGUGAGGUGUCAGGUUAAGUCCUAUAACGAGCGCAACCCCUGUUGUUAGUUGCCAGCGAGUCAAGUCGGGAACUCUAACAAGACUGCCAGUGCAAACUGUGAGGAAGGUGGGGAUGACGUCAAAUCAUCACGGCCCUUACGCCUUGGGCUACACACGUGCUACAAUGGACGGUACAGAGAGCAGCCACUGGGUGACCAGGAGCGAAUCUACAAAACCGUUCUCAGUUCGGAUCGGAGUCUGCAACUCGACUCCGUGAAGCUGGAAUCGC
This 754-nucleotide ribosomal RNA is filed under the name uncultured bacterium. Its description in RNAcentral is "bacterial SSU rRNA". It matches the Rfam family "Bacterial small subunit ribosomal RNA", at positions 573 to 1335 of the family's 1533-position model. The record is from RNAcentral.